Molecule: ribosomal RNA, 420 nt
Filed under: Fusobacteriota bacterium
Lineage: Bacteria; Fusobacteriati; Fusobacteriota
Description: Fusobacteria bacterium partial 16S ribosomal RNA
Rfam family: Bacterial small subunit ribosomal RNA
Source: RNAcentral
UGGGGGAUAUUGCACAAUGGGCGAAAGCCUGAUGCAGCGACGCCGCGUGGGGGAUGAAGGCCUUCGGGUUGUAAACUUCUUUUGCUCUGAACAAGGCAUGCCUUUGGGGUGUGUUGAGUGUAGGGGUUGAUUAGCGCCGGCUAAUUACGUGCCAGCAGCCGCGGUAAUACGUAGGGCGCGAGCGUUGUCCGGAAUUAUUGGGCGUAAAGGGCUUGUAGGUGGCUGGUUGCGUCUGUCGUGAAAGCUCAUGGCUUAACUGUGGGUUUGCGGUGGGUACGGGCUGGCUUGAGUGCAGUAGGAGAGGCUGGAAUUCCUGGUGUAGCGGUGGAAUGCGCAGAUAUCAGGAGGAAUACCGGUGGCGAAGGCGGGUCUCUGGGCUGUUACUGACGCUGAGGAGCGAAAGCGUGGGGAGCGAACAGG